Molecule: ribosomal RNA, 468 nt
Filed under: uncultured bacterium
Lineage: Bacteria
Description: partial 16S ribosomal RNA
Rfam family: Bacterial small subunit ribosomal RNA
Source: RNAcentral
GACGAACGCUGGCGGCGUGCUUAACACAUGCAAGUCGAACGGAAAGGCCCUGCUUUUGUGGGGUGCUCGAGUGGCGAACGGGUGAGUAACACGUGAGUAACCUGCCCUUUACUUUGGGAUAACUUCAGGAAACUGUGGCUAAUACCGGAUAGGAGCUCCUGCUGCAUGGUGGGGGUUGGAAAGUUUCGGCGGUUGGGGAUGGACUCGCGGCUUAUCAGCUUGUUGGUGGGGUAGUGGCUUACCAAGGCUUUGACGGGUAGCCGGCCUGAGAGGGUGACCGGCCACAUUGGGACUGAGAUAGGGCCCAGACUCCUACGGGAGGCAGCAGUGGGGAAUAUGGCACAAUGGGCGGAAGCCUGAGGCAGCAACGCCGCGUGCGGGAUGACGGCCUUCGGGUGGUAAACCGCUUUCGCCUGUGACGAAGCGUGAGUGACGGUAAUGGGUAAAGAAGCACCGGCUAACUACGUG